RNAcentral lists this unclassified non-coding RNA (199 nucleotides) under soil metagenome. RNAcentral's name for it is "partial contains 5.8S ribosomal RNA, internal transcribed spacer 2, and large subunit ribosomal RNA". The record is from RNAcentral.
AACGGUCUAUACCUGCGGUACCUGCGGAAGGAUCAUUAUCAAUUUACAGCGGACUUCGGUCCUGUCUGCACCCUUGUCUUUUGCGUACUAUAUGUUUCCUCGGUGGGCUUGCCUGCCGAUAGGACACUUAUAAACUCUUUUGUAAUUGCAAUCAGCGUCAGAAAACUAUAAUAGUUACAACUUUUAACAACGGAUCUCU